This 1317-nucleotide ribosomal RNA is filed under the name metagenome. RNAcentral's name for it is "bacterial SSU rRNA". It matches the Rfam family "Bacterial small subunit ribosomal RNA", at positions 157 to 1498 of the family's 1533-position model. The record is from RNAcentral.
CGACUGCUAAUACCGCAUAAGCCCACGGUGCCGCAUGGCACAGAGGGAAAAGGAGCAAUCCGCUUUGAGAUGGCCUCGCGUCCGAUUAGCUAGUUGGUGAGGUAAUGGCUCACCAAGGCGACGAUCCGUAACUGGUCUGAGAGGAUGAUCAGUCACACUGGAACUGAGACACGGUCCAGACCCCUACGGGAGGCAGCAGUGGGGAAUAUUGCACAAUGGGGGAAACCCUGAUGCAGCGACGCCGCGUGGAGGAAGAAGGUCUUCGGAUUGUAAACUCCUGUUGUUGAGGAAGAUAAUGACGGUACUCAACAAGGAAGUGACGGCUAACUACGUGCCAGCAGCCGCGGUAAAACGUAGGUCACAAGCGUUGUCCGGAAUUACUGGGUGUAAAGGGAGCGCAGGCGGGAAGACAAGUUGGAAGUGAAAUCUAUGGGCUCAACCCAUAAACUGCUUUCAAAACUGUUUUUCUUGAGUAGUGCAGAGGUAGGCGGAAUUCCCGGUGUAGCGGUGGAAUGCGUAGAUAUCGGGAGGAACACCAGUGGCGAAGGCGGCCUACUGGGCACCAACUGACGCUGAGGCUCGAAAGUGUGGGUAGCAAACAGGAUUAGAUACCCUGGUAGUCCACACCGUAAACGAUGAUUACUAGGUGUUGGAGGAUUGACCCCUUCAGUGCCGCAGUUAACACAAUAAGUAAUCCACCUGGGGAGUACGACCGCAAGGUUGAAACUCAAAGGAAUUGACGGGGGCCCGCACAAGCAGUGGAGUAUGUGGUUUAAUUCGACGCAACGCGAAGAACCUUACCAAGUCUUGACAUCCUGCGACGGACAUAGAAAUAUGUCUUUCCUUCGGGACGCAGAGACAGGUGGUGCAUGGUUGUCGUCAGCUCGUGUCGUGAGAUGUUGGGUUAAGUCCCGCAACGAGCGCAACCCUUAUGGUCAGUUACUACGCAAGAGGACUCUGGCCAGACUGCCGUUGACAAAACGGAGGAAGGUGGGGAUGACGUCAAAUCAUCAUGCCCUUUAUGACUUGGGCUACACACGUACUACAAUGGCGUUAAACAAAGAGAAGCAAGACCGCGAGGUGGAGCAAGACUCAGAAACAACGUCCCAGUUCGGACUGCAGGCUGCAACUCGCCUGCACGAAGUCAGAAUUGCUAGUAAUCGCAGAUCAGCAUGCUGCGGUGAAUACGUUCCCGGGCCUUGUACACACCGCCCGUCACACCAUGAGAGCCGGGGGGACCCGAAGUCGGUAGUCUAACCGCAAGGAGGACGCCGCCGAAGGUAAAACUGGUGAUUGGGGUGAAGUCGUAACAAGGUA